UACGUAGGGGGCGAGCGUUGUCCGGAAUCAUUGGGCGUAAAGCGCGUGUAGGCGGCUCGAUAAGUCUGCUGUGAAAGUCCAGGGCUCAACCCUGGAAUGCCGGUGGAAACUGUCGAGCUUGAGUCCGGAAGAGGCGAGUGGAAUUCCUGGUGUAGCGGUGAAAUGCGCAGAUAUCAGGAGGAACACCAAUGGCGAAGGCAGCUCGCUGGGACGGUACUGACGCUGAGACGCGAAAGCGUGGGGAGCAAACAGG
RNAcentral lists this ribosomal RNA (253 nucleotides) under uncultured bacterium. RNAcentral describes it as "partial 16S ribosomal RNA". It matches the Rfam family "Bacterial small subunit ribosomal RNA", at positions 524 to 776 of the family's 1533-position model. The record is from RNAcentral.